AGUGAACGCUGGCGGUAGGCCUAACACAUGCAAGUCGAACGGCAGCACAGUAAGCGCUUGCUCUUACGGGUGGCGAGUGGCGGACGGGCGAGGAAUACAUCGGAAUCUACUUUUUCGUGGGGGAUAACGUAGGGAAACUUACGCUAAUACCGCAUACGACCUACGGGUGAAAGCAGGGGAUAUUCGGACCUUGCGCGAUUGAAUGAGCCGAUGUCGGAUUAGCUAGUUGGCGGGGUAAAGGCCCACCAAGGCGACGAUCCGUAGCUGGUCUGAGAGGAUGAUCAGCCACACUGGAACUGAGACACGGUCCAGACUCCUACGGGAGGCAGCAGUGGGGAAUAUUGGACAAUGGGCGCAAGCCUGAUCCAGCCAUACCGCGUGGGUGAAGAAGGCCUUCGGGUUGUAAAGCCCUGUUGUUGGGAAAGAAAAGCAGCAGGUUAAUACCCCGCUGUUCUGACGGUACCCAAAGAAUAAGCACCGGCUAACUUCGUG
Molecule: ribosomal RNA, 492 nt
Filed under: uncultured bacterium
Lineage: Bacteria
Description: partial 16S ribosomal RNA
Rfam family: Bacterial small subunit ribosomal RNA
Source: RNAcentral